GCUUGUCUCAAAGAUUAAGCCAUGCAUGUCUAAGUAUAAACAACUUUGUACUGUGAAACUGCGAAUGGCUCAUUAUAUCAGUUAUAGUCUACUCGAUAGUACCUUACUACUUGGAUAACCGUAGUAAUUCUAGAGCUAAUACAUGCACAAAAUCCCGACUUACGAAGGGAUGUAUUUAUUAGAUACAAACCAACAUCGUGGUGAUUCAUAAUAACUUUGCGAAUCGUAUGCCUCACGGCGACGAUGAAUCAUUCAAAUUUCUGCCCUAUCAACUUUCGAUGGUAAGGUAUUGGCUUACCAUGGUUACAACGGGUAACGGGGAAUUAGGGUUCGAUUCCGGAGAGGGGGCCUGAGAAAUGGCCACCACUUCCAAGGAAGGCAGCAGG
RNAcentral lists this ribosomal RNA (386 nucleotides) under uncultured Katablepharidophyta. RNAcentral describes it as "partial small subunit ribosomal RNA". It matches the Rfam family "Eukaryotic small subunit ribosomal RNA", at positions 30 to 432 of the family's 1831-position model. The record is from RNAcentral. Lineage: Eukaryota; Cryptophyceae; Kathablepharidacea.